RNAcentral lists this ribosomal RNA (512 nucleotides) under uncultured bacterium. RNAcentral's name for it is "partial 16S ribosomal RNA". It matches the Rfam family "Bacterial small subunit ribosomal RNA", at positions 28 to 523 of the family's 1533-position model. The record is from RNAcentral.
GACGAACGCUGGCGGCGUGCCUAAUACAUGCAAGUCGAGCGGAUUGAUGGGAGCUUGCUCCCUGAUAUCAGCGGCGGACGGGUGAGUAACACGUGGGCAACCUGCCUAUAAGACUGGGAUAACUUCGGGAAACCGGAGCUAAUACCGGAUAAUCCCUUUCCUCUCAUGAGGAAAGGCUGAAAGAUGGUUUACGCUAUCACUUAUAGAUGGGCCCGCGGCGCAUUAGCUAGUUGGUGAGGUAACGGCACACCAAGGCAACGAUGCGUAGCGGACCUGGGAGGGUGAUCGGCCACACUGGGACUGAGACACGGCCCAGACUCCUACGGGAGGCAGCAGUAGGGAAUCUUCCGCAAUGGACGAAAGUCUGACGGAGCAACGCCGCGUGAGUGAUGAAGGUUUUCGGAUCGUAAAACUCUGUUGUUAGGGAAGAACAAGUACGAGAGUAACUGCUCGUACCUUGACGGUACCUAACCAGAAAGCCACGGCUAACUACGUGCCAGCCGCCGCAGUAA